Molecule: long non-coding RNA, 873 nt
Filed under: Panax ginseng (ginseng)
Lineage: Eukaryota; Viridiplantae; Streptophyta; Magnoliopsida; Apiales; Araliaceae
Description: long non-coding RNA (PGIN_LNC016158)
Source: RNAcentral
ACCAUCACCCGACGCCUACUUUCCUCUUGUUGGACUGGUAUGUGUCUCUCGCAGUGAUGGAAAAGGUGUCUAACCAAUCAACUGUGCUCAAACUUGACCAAAUUCUAUAUUCAAAUCAGCUAAGAAAUUCAAAACUCUAUCUUCAGUCACAAACUUUUGAUAAACAGCUGCAUCUUCUAGACAUUUGGCGGGAAAAAAUCUGAUAAUGAUCAAGCUCCUGCCAAAGAGCAUUAAUUUCUGCAAAAUACUAUGCCACAAACUUCUCUCCUUAACCCAACUCAUGGAUUUGUUUAUGGAUAUCACACGCUUUAGACAUAUCAUCAGAAACAGAAAAGGUUAAAGAAAUAGUCUCCCAAAGUUCAUAUGCAGUGUCUAAGAACAUGUAACUACUUCACAUACUUGGUUCCAUUGAGUUAAAGAUCUAUGUUUUCACCAUGGAGUUAUCAAAUUUUUAUUCUUCUUGGGCUAUACAUGCUUGUGUAGGCAUGGUUGUUGUACCAUUGAUGAAGUGUUGCAUACAGUUAGCUUUAAUUGACAUACGACAUGCUUGAGAUCAAGCUAGAUAAUUAUUUUCAUCCAACUUAAAUGGGCUGAGAACCAAAGCAGAGUUAAGAUGAUGAUUCCUAAUCAACUGCCUUUUAUUUGUCUGAGGAGAACCACCGCUAUUAAUGGAACUAGACUCUUCCAUAAUAAUGUCGUAGGAGCAACAAAUGUAUCGGAGGAAAUAUCUACAUGGAUGGUUUAAAACCUCAAAAGGAACCUGAGCAUAGCAGUAUCACAAACAAAACCCUAGUCGCAAGCAAUACAGUAGACACAAAGACUACUGUCAAAUAAAGCCUUAAUAAACCUGGAUCAAUCCCUACAAAAUCACUG